Molecule: ribosomal RNA, 1232 nt
Filed under: uncultured Actinomycetes bacterium
Lineage: Bacteria; Bacillati; Actinomycetota; Actinomycetes
Description: bacterial SSU rRNA
Rfam family: Bacterial small subunit ribosomal RNA
Source: RNAcentral
UCGCGGCCUAUCAGCUUGUUGGUGAGGUAAUGGCUCACCAAGGCGUCGACGGGUAGCCGGCCUGAGAGGGUGACCGGCCACACUGGGACUGAGACACGGCCCAGACUCCUACGGGAGGCAGCAGUGGGGAAUAUUGCACAAUGGGCGCAAGCCUGAUGCAGCAACGCCGCGUGAGGGAUGACGGCCUUCGGGUUGUAAACCUCUUUUAGUAGGGAAGAAGCGAAAGUGACGGUACCUGCAGAAAAAGCGCCGGCUAACUACGUGCCAGCAGCCGCGGUAAUACGUAGGGCGCAAGCGUUAUCCGGAAUUAUUGGGCGUAAAGAGCUCGUAGGCGGUUUGUCGCGUCUGCUGUGAAAUCUGGGGGCUCAACCCCCAGCCUGCAGUGGGUACGGGCAGACUAGAGUGCGGUAGGGGAGAUUGGAAUUCCUGGUGUAGCGGUGGAAUGCGCAGAUAUCAGGAGGAACACCGAUGGCGAAGGCAGAUCUCUGGGCCGUAACUGACGCUGAGGAGCGAAAGGGUGGGGAGCAAACAGGCUUAGAUACCCUGGUAGUCCACCCCGUAAACGUUGGGAACUAGUUGUGGGGUCCAUUCCACGGAUUCCGUGACGCAGCUAACGCAUUAAGUUCCCCGCCUGGGGAGUACGGCCGCAAGGCUAAAACUCAAAGGAAUUGACGGGGACCCGCACAAGCGGCGGAGCAUGCGGAUUAAUUCGAUGCAACGCGAAGAACCUUACCAAGGCUUGACAUAUACGAGAACGGGCCAGAAAUGGUCAACUCUUUGGACACUCGUAAACAGGUGGUGCAUGGUUGUCGUCAGCUCGUGUCGUGAGAUGUUGGGUUAAGUCCCGCAACGAGCGCAACCCUCGUUCUAUGUUGCCAGCACGUAAUGGUGGGAACUCAUGGGAUACUGCCGGGGUCAACUCGGAGGAAGGUGGGGAUGACGUCAAAUCAUCAUGCCCCUUAUGUCUUGGGCUUCACGCAUGCUACAAUGGCCGGUACAAAGGGCUGCAAUACCGCGAGGUGGAGCGAAUCCCAUAAAGCCGGUCCCAGUUCGGAUUGAGGUCUGCAACUCGACCUCAUGAAGUCGGAGUCGCUAGUAAUCGCAGAUCAGCAACGCUGCGGUGAAUACGUUCCCGGGUCUUGUACACACCGCCCGUCAAGUCAUGAAAGUCGGUAACACCUGAAGCCGGUGGCCUAACCCUUGUGGAGGGAGCCGUCGAAGGUGGGGCUGGA